GCCUGAGAGCACGGCGGGGUGGAGAUGUGGUGCCCGGGCUGGUCCGGCAGCAGCAGCUCGGUCGGACGCUCGUUCCCGCGGCCUGAGCCUCUGCCCCAAGCCACACCUCCCAGAUCCCGCCGCGUCCCCGCCCGGACCCUCUCGCCCCGCCGCAGCCGGCCGCGCAAGCGGGGGCGGGCCUCUGCGCCGUGCGGCCAAUGGGGACAGAGCCUGGGGGCCGGGGCGUGGCGGCCCCGGCACGACGCCCCGAGUGGCGGUUGUUUCAAGAUGGCGGACGUGGCGGGCCCCUCCCGCCCGGGCGCCGCCGCGUUCUGGAGCCGCGACAUUUCUGAUGAAGAACAAUCAGUAGUAUAUGUUCCAGGGAUUUCUACAGAAGGAACUAUCAGAUCAAGACAUAAGUCGACAAGUCCAAAAGCUGAUGUUAAAGUUAAGACUUCUAAGGCAAUGGAUGCUUCAAUCUCUAUGGAGUCUUUAAGAGGUGCAGGAGAUUCAUUAGGUGAACAGAAUUUCUACAAGGGAGGAACAAAGAGUGCAUCAUUGAAGGAUUUAUGUCUUGAAGACAAAAGACGCAUUGCAAACUUGAUUAAAGAGCUGGCCAGAGUAAGUGAAGAAAAAGAAGUUACAGAAGAACGACUGAAAGCUGAGCAAGAAUCAUUUGAGAAGAAGAUCAGGCAGUUGGAAGAACAGAAUGAACUGAUCAUCAAAGAAAGGGAAGCUCUUCAACUACAGUAUAGAGAAUGCCAAGAACUUCUCAGUCUCUAUCAGAAAUACCUGUCAGAACAGCAAGAAAAGCUCACCAUGUCUCUCUCAGAACUUAAUGCUGCUAGGAUGCAGGAACAGCAGUGCUGCAGACCAAUCCAGGGCCUUGGGCAUGCUAGUCAAGUUUCUGCAACUGAGCUAUAUCCAUACCUGUCAACUGUUUCUUAAAUGUUGUGUGAUUCCCUUUCCUGGACCUCUCUUUUAUUUUGCCAGGGUACCAGCAGUGGUUCUGAGGAGAAACUACUUAUCAAGAAACUAAUAUGUAAUCGAUCAUUCCUAUAAAUAAUAUGAUUAAAUAGUUGCAGUCCUGUUAUGAGGAGAUCUCAAAUAUUAGAACCAUCCAUAUAAAGAGCUAGGGGAAGAAUGUCUUGGCAGAGGAAAUAGCCAGGUUCUCUAUCAACUGGAAUAGUCACUUAGAAAUGUAGUAAAAUGAAAAGCUGAAGAGAAAGACAUAGUUCAAAAUAUGAAGUAAACUAAAAUGUGGUAUGAUUCUGAGGAGUUGAAUUUUUAGAAAGGAGAUUUUUUUUUUGGCCUCUAUACUUAGAACACUUUUUCAAGUGUCUGGGCUAGUGACCGCAGGCUGACAUAUUACUUGCUAUGAAUUUAAUCACAUACCCUGUUUCUGCUGUGACAAGUAUUUUCAUAUUUUAUGUUUAUAGACCUGCUUUCAGAAUAAACCUGUAAACAGUUGGAUUGUAUUAUCUAGUCUCUGAAAAGAAUACAAAUGGCAAAACCUUGAUGGUGUGAAAGAAAUGAUGGAGCCGUUAAAAGUCUCAGUCUAAAAGAGGCAAAGAGUGUAAAGUGUUGAAACUAGAAAUAAUUUUGAGAUCAUCUUCUUCAGUGACAAAGAGCCUUUUCCUAAUAUAUAUAUAACUAGCAGUCAAAAUCAUGUGGAUUUUGAGAAGAUAUCCCCUCCCCAGGUGAUCCUGCUAUGCACCUUAGGUGAGAAAUCCUCAUUUCAUCGAGCCUCUUCAUUUUCAGAAGUAGAAACUUAGACCCUGGCAUUUGAAUAGCUGAUUAGUAGCAGAGCGUAUGUUGGCUCUUAGCAUCCCAAAUUUCACAAAGUUCUAGUUUUGAAAAUCUGCGAUCUCUUUACUUUUGCUGCUAUAUGUUGUUUCUGUUGGUCUAGAGUGUUUUCUUGACUUAUUUUGCUAAUUUUAUUAUUUAUCUUCUUUUUUAAAAACUCUUUCAAACAAAAAGUCUAAAACACACUAUCUCCUUCUGAAAAUCAACCCUCCCUGUUUCAGCCUCACCUCUACCCUCAUUUUUAGUAAUACACAGUGUUUUCUUUUCCUGAGCUAAUACUAAUUGGCCUACUUUUGAGUUAGGAGUCUGCUGUGUUCAUACUAAAUUGGUUACCAGUUCACCACCCACCUCCCAACAUCCAGGGUUUUAUUUUUAUCUUUUACUUUCCUUUUUUUUAAAUCCCUGAAUGUCCAUACUUUUUAUAUUCCUUUCUUGUCCUUUUACUGUAAAGUUCACCAAUUUUUAUUGAAGUUCUGAUUUCUUUUUUACAAUUCUCAAACAAACAAAAAACAUUUCAGCUGGCUUCAGUGGCCCAAGCUAAUUGGGAGGAUGGCUGUUUGAGGCCAGUGCAGGCAGAAAGUUUACAAGACUCAUCUCAACCAAUAGUUGGAUUCAUU
Castor canadensis (American beaver) is the source of this 2402-nucleotide non-coding RNA. The record is from RefSeq and is a predicted model, not a curated record. NCBI's taxonomy places the organism in Eukaryota, Metazoa, Chordata, Mammalia, Rodentia, Castoridae.